This 502-nucleotide ribosomal RNA is filed under the name uncultured bacterium. RNAcentral describes it as "partial 16S ribosomal RNA". It matches the Rfam family "Bacterial small subunit ribosomal RNA", at positions 30 to 523 of the family's 1533-position model. The record is from RNAcentral.
AUUGAACGCUGGCGGCAUGCCUUACACAUGCAAGUCGAACGGCAGCGCGGGUGCUUGCACCUGGCGGCGAGUGGCGAACGGGUGAGUAAUACAUCGGAACGUGCCCUAGAGUGGGGGAUAACUAGUCGAAAGAUUAGCUAAUACCGCAUACGAUCUACGGAUGAAAGUGGGGGACCGCAAGGCCUCAUGCUCCUGGAGCGGCCGAUGUCUGAUUAGCGAGUUGGUGGGGUAAAGGCCUACCAAGGCGACGAUCAGUAGCUGGUCUGAGAGGACGACCAGCCACACUGGGACUGAGGCACGGCCCAGACUCCUACGGGAGGCAGCAGUGGGGAAUUUUGGACAAUGGGGGCAACCCUGAUCCAGCAAUUCCGCGUGAGUGAAGAAGGCCUUCGGGUUGUAAAGCACUUUUGUCAGGAACGAAACGGUGGGGGCUAAUACCUCCUGCUAAUGACGGUACCUGAAGAAUAAGCACCGGCUAACUACGUGCCAGCCGCCGCCGUAA